CGGGGUGUGGCGAAGUUUGGUAUCGCGCUUGGUUCGGGACCAAGAGGCCCAGGGUUCAAGUCCCUGCACUCCGACCA
This 77-nucleotide transfer RNA is filed under the name Clostridiaceae bacterium OttesenSCG-928-D20. RNAcentral describes it as "tRNA-Pro". It matches the Rfam family "tRNA". From Rfam's summary of the family: Transfer RNA (tRNA) molecules are approximately 80 nucleotides in length. Lineage: Bacteria; Bacillati; Bacillota; Clostridia; Eubacteriales; Clostridiaceae. The record is from RNAcentral.